GUUGUUUAAUUAAAUAAACGUGUGAAGUUAACUUCAAGAAUGCCCUGUGUCCCAAGAAGAUGAGAUUGAAGGAGCGCAGUCCCUGUAGGUGGGCAGCGCUCUCAGAAGGGCGGUCCUGUCCCCUCCCAACUCAACCUGGUGGGAGAGGCUGGGGAGCCCCUGUAGGAAGCCACACAUCCUCUGGCAGCCUCUUCAGUGAGGCAGUUAGAGACCAGGGCUGAGCCAGUGGCUGGUGGAUGGCCGACCUCCCACCCAAGAGCCCUGUGUCUGCGUGUACGGAUUAACCCACAGGACUGCCAGGCUCGGCUCGGGCGGCCCCUGUGGCCCCCAGGUCAGGGACCAGGCCAGCGUCCCGAUGAAGGCUCUGCCUCGUCACAAAGCAGUUUGGCAGUGCAAGGCCAGGGCCUCCGCUCUCUUCAGUUGGACAAUUGCUGAGCGGCCCUCCUGAGUUUCGCUCCGAGUUCCUUUCUGCUUCGACCUUGGCCUGCUCUCCUUCUGCCCCAGGGAAUUCUCGCGAUAGAAGAGGAAGGGGCGGGACUUCCGGCACCAGAGACAGGAAGAGAAACUGCAGAGUGGGAUUCGGUGCAGGCUGCGUCCUCCUGGCUGCAGCUGAAGUAGGUACAGUGCUCCCGCAGCCGCGAGAUGAAGGAAAAGCUCAAAAUGGAGGUACUGUGUGGUCGCUGCUGGGGAACUGUCCACAACUGCAGCCCACUGAGCGGCUUCACAAGCCUGCUUAUCUGAGGAGCAGUGUGCAAGGCAGGAGGCACGGGCAAGACGCAGAAUCCAGGAUUAGGCCCAGGCCCGCCUAAUCGGCACCUCGGGUGUUCAGCGUGGGAGUGGGGGUCUCACCCGCCUCCUUGGGUGAGGAGCUCGGAUGUGAACAGAUCUCGCAGCACUCAGGCAAACGUGAUCAUGCCAGCAAAGGGGCCCUGCUGCAGGUGCCAGCCAUUGUGUCCCCAGCACACGCGUGUGAACACAGUGUGCACGGUGAGAAGAGCCAGCAAAGCACCACCCUGGUACCCUCGCAGUCCUGCACCCUCAGCAGCAGGUGGUCCUGCCGCAGUCACCCCCAGAAGUCUGCACACAAGACUCGGUGAUUGGAAAGAACACUCAGAAGCUGGAUCCCCUAAGAACACACAGAUACCCACAAGCACUGCGGAGUGUGUUAUCAGAACAGUUCGGAGCAGUUGUGUUCUUAUGUUACUUCAAAAUAUUUGGCAAGAUUAAGAUCAUCAUUAUUUCUGCCAUUAGCUUUUUGAUGAUGUGAUAAUCAUUAUUCAUUGAGAGCCCCCAAUCAGGUAGAUACAGAGGAAAAGUGCUUGCUGCUCCUCACACGUUUAGUGGGGACUCCGACAGUGUGACCCCGGGGACGGCACGGGCGCCCACACCAGUCCCUUCUGCUUCCCAGAGUUAACUCGGACCGACCCAGCCCAGCUAAUUCUCCAUAAUGGAGACUUGUUCAGUGACGUC
Molecule: long non-coding RNA, 1470 nt
Filed under: Fukomys damarensis (Damara mole-rat)
Lineage: Eukaryota; Metazoa; Chordata; Mammalia; Rodentia; Bathyergidae
Description: lncRNA (ENSFDAG00000022525.1)
Source: RNAcentral